AAAAGAAAUCAAUAUCAAAUUGUAGAAUGGAAUUAUCAAGGAAAUUUAGAGUUGGCUUAGCUCGAAUUGGAUUUAGAAUAUGAUUACAUGAUAAGUCAAUGAUGCAAAUAUGGCAAUUAUCUCGAGGAUUAACCUUGAUCUAGUAUGCAUCGGAAGCAAGGAUAAAAAAAAAAUAAUUUUGCUUGGAUAUUAAAAAAAAAAGAAUGAUGAUGAUAUGGGCUCAAUUGGAAAUGUAAGUGGAAUCAGCAAUAGAGUUUGAUAUGGGAACAUGUUCAAUAGCACAUGAUGUUUCACAAGUUGUAUUUAGUGAUCCCUGUUUCUAAGAUUUGAAAUAAAUUGUUUCAUCUCUAAUUGAUGGGCAAUUAUUAAAUACCUUUGUUUACCACUGAGAAGCAAGUUUAAAUUGUUUCAUGAGGAAGGUGAAAGUUAUGAAUAAUAAUUCCACAUAUCAUUGUCUAGUGGAAGGAGCACAAGAGAAGAAGAUUUUUUUUUUUAAAUAGAGAUCUUACGAUAAAAGUAUGCAUCCCUUUCUUUUAAUGGAUAUGUGAAAUUCAGAAUCACCUAGCAAUGCUAAAAUAGGGCAGAUUAUUGUUCAUGCAAUUUAAGGAUACCUAAUAUAACAUAUUAGGAUAUUGAGAAACAAUUUCAAGAAGUUUACACCUUCCGAGCUUAAAAUUUUCCAAGAUGACUUGAAAGUUCAUCUCUUACUAGGAAAGAAGGCUCAUUUUCUACGGAUGAAGUUGCUGAAGAUGGAAAAUUUGUUUAAAGCAUUUGUCACUUAUUUAAGGAAAAAAAAAAUUCUAGCUAAGUAAAUUCGAUCAAGAUGGAGGAAAGAUUUGAAGUGUAAAUACACAUGUGGUGGAAAUAUUUAUGAUGAUUUUGUUAACAAACCACAUAAAUUAUAGUUUGACCAGCUAAGCAAUUUUUCUAUGGAGUUACAGAGAGUGAAGAAGAGAAUUGUGGUAUUUUCAUUACUGGCUUAUAUGAAUUAAAGGAGAAAAGUCACAACUUCAGAACUGCCUGUGUAGCCCUCAACUCAAUCAAUAUCCAUCAACUGCUUCUCCAAACUGUAUGAAUGAACUUAGUAAGUAUCAAAAAAAAAAGGUGGUAGGAUGCUCAAUCCCUUAGCAGCUAAAAAAUAAAAUAAAAUAAGGUUUCUACUAUUAACAAGGAAGGAAUCAAAGAAGAGAAACAAGUUCAUCAAAAUGAUAUGCAAAAGGCAGAGAAAUGAGGUAUUUAAUAGUUCUAUUUGUAGACAAGUAGUAUUUUGAUCAAAAGUUAUUAGUGAAUCUAAAGAAUUUUGAUGUUUUGAAUCAGAGUGCGCAGCGAAAACAUAGUGAUUUGAAUUAUUUAUCUAAGUUGGUCAGAAGUAUUAUUUCUUUGAUUCAGAAAGUUUUAAUAAUAAAAGAUUUGAUUUGUUUUCUUGUGUAGUAGAACUUUUCUUGAUAAAUGAAAGAAAAAUGUUCUGAUUUUUGGAUGUCGUUGUGCUAUCUUAGAUUCUCCAAUUUUAUGUUGUGUUAAGAAAUUCUUAGCAUUUUUUGACUAGAAUUAAUGGAUCAUCAAUUUUGAUCUUGGAUUUGGAAUAUAUUGGUAUAGACCUCCUCCCUCCUAAAUCUAAAGCUUGAAUUUCUUCAAUUAAGAUCAACCCUCUAUCUGAUUGAAAGAAAUUGCAGUUGUCAAUCAACUUUGAUGAAUAUCUAUCAAAGGUGGAUUAGAGUUGUUUAUGAUCUAAUCUUGUGAUAGAUCGGUUAAUUGAGAGAAGUUGAUAUUUUGACAAAGAAACUUAAUGUUCUUAUUCAGAAUUAAAAUGUUGUUUUUUUUGUUUAUAAGAGAAAAGUUUGAUUUAAAUCGCUUACCAAAGGAAUCAAAUGUGGAAGUAUCGGACCUUAUUCUUUCGAUAAAAUCUAAUGAUGAAGUUGUAUUGAUAAGUAGAAUUAUUGGAAGACUUGAGUUAGUUUUCUAGUGGAGAAGAAUGUUGUUGAUUCUAUGGAUAAUUUGGAGGUAGCUAUGUAAUUUUCACCAAUAGGUUCUGUUAUAGUUGACUAUUCUUGGGAGAAUCUUGGGAAUCUUAAAUUUAGUGUUAACGGACUGACAGUUCCUUGGUUGGGCUUAGAUCUGGAAUGCUUUAAUAUUCAUUCCCUACUCCUAGUUAUGACAUUGUCAAUCUAUCUAAAUGAAAGGGUUUGAGGUUUUUCUAGGAUAAAGGUUGAUCAUUAAUUCAUGGGUAAAGUUAAGAGAAGAAAAAGGAUUAUAGAUUAUGAAAAGUAUUCGAUGCUAAUGCUUUAACCUAUUUGCAUUAAGCGAUUAUGAUUUCUGUCCGGAAUUAAUCAUGAACAAUUAAUUUCUUGGGCAAACAAUUAUGGUAUUUGAAAUCCAAGGUUGAAAGAUUAGCCUUGUUUUGGAAGAGAUCAAAACAACUCCUAUGUGUUACAGGUAGAAAGGGUCAAGUUUUGAGAUGCCGUGAUUUUGCCAAAAAUUUUGUGAGUAAGCACUCUCUGAGUGAGACUACUUUGGAGCUCGAGAAUGAUAUGAUGGUUACAUACCUUCAAAGUUUGAAGCUCCAAGUAAGUUAAUUUCGAGGACAAAAUUUUUUUUAAGGGGGAAAGAAUGUGAGAGCCCAGUUCAUUAACCGGCCGCAUACAGCUAGACCAGUGGGCCAGGCCUAUUGGCCGUUGCGGCCUCUAACUCUUCGGGGGCUAUAAAAGCUUCGCACGUCCUUCCUCAGCGAUAGGGUUUUCUGUACCCACGUUGAUGCCGCCGGAGAGGGGCGUCGCAGUUCAUCCCCGAAGCCAGGUACAGUGGAGUUGCCCAACUGUACUUAGGGAUUCGUGAGCGAAUCAAUAUGAAUAAGACUACUAGGAGCAGGGAGCUUGGUGUUAUUCAGGGUUGGGGUAACUGAAAAUGUUAUGUAAUAUAUAAUUUUAGAAGCUCUGUACUGUUCCAACUUCAUGAAUAAUGUUAUGACACUAGUAAAUGAAACUAUUUAUUUUUAUUAUGAAAUUUUAAA
Non-coding RNA from Phoenix dactylifera (date palm), 3007 nucleotides. NCBI's taxonomy places the organism in Eukaryota, Viridiplantae, Streptophyta, Magnoliopsida, Arecales, Arecaceae. The record is from RefSeq and is a predicted model, not a curated record.